AGGGUUCCAGGAAUAGGAGACCUCCAUGGUGGGAAGACCUGGCAUCCAGCAGCAGGUGUGGCACCAGGAGAAGAAAGCUGAAAGCUCACAUCUUUAACCCAAGCACAAAGCAGAGAGCAAGUCUGUUUUCUCCUUCCAUUCCAAGCUGUGCCUUUAAGGGCUGGAGAGACAAUUCAGCAGUUAAACAUACCAGCUACCUGCAGAGGAUCUGGGUUCAAAUUCAGGCACUGGAGUUCACAACGUUACAUUUGGACCGCUGGAGAUGGCUCAGCUUUUCAGAAUGCACACUACCCACCAUAGGUGGCUCACAACCACCUGUAACUCCAGCUCCAGAAGGAUCAGUGCCUCUGGCUUCCAUCAACACCCACACAACUAUUCACACAUAUACACA
This 391-nucleotide long non-coding RNA is filed under the name Cricetulus griseus (Chinese hamster). RNAcentral describes it as "lncRNA (ENSCGRG00015036138.1)". The record is from RNAcentral. Lineage: Eukaryota; Metazoa; Chordata; Mammalia; Rodentia; Cricetidae.